Non-coding RNA from Dendrothele bispora CBS 962.96, 98 nucleotides. NCBI's taxonomy places the organism in Eukaryota, Fungi, Basidiomycota, Agaricomycetes, Agaricales. The record is from the annotation of a GenBank genome assembly.
UCCCUGGUAGUAUAUCGGUUAGUACACGCGCCUGUCAUAUAUGAUUCCAUGCAUCUACACAGACGCGCGAAAGCUGGGUUCGACUCCCAGCCAGGGAG